CCCGCGACAGGACGGAAAGACCCCGUGGAGCUUUACUGCAGCCUGAUAUUGAAUGUUGGUACAGCUUGUACAGGAUAGGUAGGAGCCUUGGAAACCGGAGCGCCAGCUUCGGUGGAGGCAUCGGUGUGAUACUACCCUGGCUGUAUUGACCUUCUAACCCGCCGCCCUUAUCGGGCGGGGAGACAGUGUCAGGUGGGCAGUUUGACUGGGGCGGUCGCCUCCUAAAAGGUAACGGAGGCGCCCAAAGGUUCCCUCAGAAUGGUUGGAAAUCAUUCGCAGAGUGUAAAGGCACAAGGGAGCUUGACUG
RNAcentral lists this ribosomal RNA (307 nucleotides) under Bacillus siamensis. Its description in RNAcentral is "bacterial LSU rRNA". It matches the Rfam family "Bacterial large subunit ribosomal RNA", at positions 2069 to 2375 of the family's 2925-position model. Lineage: Bacteria; Bacillati; Bacillota; Bacilli; Caryophanales; Bacillaceae. The record is from RNAcentral.